This 31-nucleotide non-coding RNA is filed under the name Mus musculus (house mouse). The record is from RNAcentral. Lineage: Eukaryota; Metazoa; Chordata; Mammalia; Rodentia; Muridae.
UAAAAAGACCGAUCAGCAUCCAGAUUAAAGU